ACCUGGCUGGCUCAGUUGAUAGAGCAUGUAACUCUUGAUCUCAGGGUUACGAGUUCAAGCCUAGUGUUGGGUG
Molecule: transfer RNA, 73 nt
Filed under: Mustela putorius furo (domestic ferret)
Lineage: Eukaryota; Metazoa; Chordata; Mammalia; Carnivora; Mustelidae
Rfam family: tRNA
About the family: Transfer RNA (tRNA) molecules are approximately 80 nucleotides in length. Their secondary structure includes four short double-helical elements and three loops (D, anti-codon, and T loops).
Source: Rfam by way of RNAcentral